CUUUGUUAAAAUUCUUUUGCCUAUCUUUGGAACUAGGAACCCUCACAUCAAAGGCAGAGGGAAUAGAAGUGCUCGAGCAAUUCUUGGGCACCUAAAAAAUUACUGUUUCCCUGGGUGUCUUUUGCUGAACCCUGGCCCUGCAUACUGCCACCAAGCAAAGAGUUAUGUGACCAAUGCUCACAGCAACCAUAUGAAGUAGGUGCCUUUAUGAUAAGCUCCAUUAACAAAUGAGAAAGAUGAAGCCAUAAUGAUUAAAUAACGUACCCAGAACAAGAUAACAAGUAAGGGAUGAAGCUUUCAGACUCAGGUAAAGCUGUUCCUUUGGCCUGACUACUGCCGCUCUCACUUUUUAUUUGACUCUGACGUUUCUUUGAAGGUUGAAGCUAGUCUCUGAACUCCUUGAUCACUGCACUAUUUCAUCCAGUUUUGUGUCCUUCAAGUCUAAAGCAACAUCUAGAACCAUCUUAGGCAUUAAACACACUUUGAAUGAAUGGAUGGAAAAAAAAAGUGUUAGAUGCCCAAUAAACCACUCAAAAGCCGAGUAUCAAAUGAGGAAUAAGAGGACUUACGGUACUUCAUCUACCAUAACCAUAAUCAACUUAUUAGUCUGGAGGAUCACUGUUAUUUCUCAGAUUGUCAGAAUUGGGAUGGAUGAUAACCUGCAGACUACCACUUUGUGCUUUGCUAAAAGGGAGGAUUGUGUUGCCACCAAAUCCCUAAUUGAGACCGAAUUAAAAUCUACGCCUGUUAAGCUCUCCA
This is a non-coding RNA of Microcebus murinus (gray mouse lemur), 759 nucleotides long. The record is from RefSeq and is a predicted model, not a curated record. Lineage: Eukaryota; Metazoa; Chordata; Mammalia; Primates; Cheirogaleidae.